UUGUGCUAGACGGAGAGUUAGCGGUCCUCUUAACCUGAAAUCCGCUAUAUGCAGGGUUGAAUUCCGUUGAGCGGAUAUUUAUGAAUUGUAAAUGAAAGAAUAAUUUAUAUUGACCUUUUCAACUUUAUGCAAUAAAAAUAAUCUAAAACCCGUCAGGUCUGGAAGGAAGCAGCGGUAGGAUUAUUUUUAUGUGCCAUAAACCCCUGAGAAGUAGUAACUUGUUUUUUAUAUUUACUUUAAACAGAGUAUACAAUCAACGGUGCACAC
RNAcentral lists this signal recognition particle RNA (267 nucleotides) under Fidelibacterota bacterium. RNAcentral describes it as "signal recognition particle sRNA large type". It matches the Rfam family "Bacterial large signal recognition particle RNA". Rfam says of the family: The signal recognition particle (SRP) is a universally conserved ribonucleoprotein involved in the co-translational targeting of proteins to membranes. The record is from RNAcentral. Lineage: Bacteria; Pseudomonadati; Fidelibacterota.